GGGUUAUCACCUCAACUUUCAUUAUAGGUUCCAGGAGUCUUGGACCAGCCUUCCUCAAUCCUUCACGGAAUGCACCUCUGGCUGCAAUUUGGAAUGCCAGGACACUUGAAUCAACAUCAUGGUAUGAGCCAUCAACCAGCACCGCUCGGAGGUCCACAACAGGGUAACCAGCAAGGACACCAUUGGGCAAGCUUUCCUCAAUUCCCUUCAUCACGCCUGGUACAUAUUCUUUUGGAACUG
RNAcentral lists this unclassified non-coding RNA (240 nucleotides) under Hevea brasiliensis (rubber tree). Lineage: Eukaryota; Viridiplantae; Streptophyta; Magnoliopsida; Malpighiales; Euphorbiaceae. The record is from RNAcentral.